UACGUAGGGGGCAAGCGUUGUCCGGAAUCAUUGGGCGUAAAGAGCGCGUAGGCGGCCCAGUAAGUCCGCUCUGAAAGUCAGGGGCUCAACCCCUGAAUGCGGGUGGAUACUGCUGGGCUAGAGUCCGGAAGAGGCGAGUGGAAUUCCUGGUGUAGCGGUGAAAUGCGCAGAUAUCAGGAGGAACACCGAUGGCGAAGGCAGCUCGCUGGGACGGUACUGACGCUGAGGAGUGAAAGCGUGGGGAGCGAACAGG
This 253-nucleotide ribosomal RNA is filed under the name uncultured bacterium. Its description in RNAcentral is "partial 16S ribosomal RNA". It matches the Rfam family "Bacterial small subunit ribosomal RNA", at positions 524 to 776 of the family's 1533-position model. The record is from RNAcentral.